UGCUUCCUUGUGUGUGGUGCCGGACAGCAGCGUCGCCUCCGUGAAGUCGUACAGGCAAGAUGAUGACACUGGCGUGGUUUAUGGUUAUGUCGUCCAUGAUGAGACGCCGCAGACGACGGCGCAUCUUCUGGGUGAGGAGGAGACGGAUGAUGUGGGUGUGGUGACACGGGGACCUGUAGCAAGGGGAGGCGGCCAUGGAUGAAACAUAACGGAAGCAUAAAUGCCAACAAAUACACAAAAAAUAGCCACGGCUACAGUCUGUAAACACAAUUAACAUAAUUGUUUACACACAGGCAGAAGCCUCUUUCAAAUGUGUCAAAAGCAGACCUCUAGAUACCAAUAAUAAAGACAACACGUCAAACCA
Haliotis rufescens (red abalone) is the source of this 364-nucleotide long non-coding RNA. RefSeq lists it as uncharacterized. The record is from RefSeq and is a predicted model, not a curated record. NCBI's taxonomy places the organism in Eukaryota, Metazoa, Mollusca, Gastropoda, Lepetellida, Haliotidae. The transcript is spliced from 2 exons.